Long non-coding RNA from Polypterus senegalus (gray bichir), 739 nucleotides. RefSeq lists it as uncharacterized. NCBI's taxonomy places the organism in Eukaryota, Metazoa, Chordata, Cladistia, Polypteriformes, Polypteridae. The transcript is spliced from 3 exons. The record is from RefSeq and is a predicted model, not a curated record.
AAUUCAUUUGGCUGCAAUGAAGUUUCAAGUGUGAAAGCAACUGUGCAGGAGGUUGACACAGUCAUCGUUGUUCAGAGACAACUUAUUCUGAGAACAUCUUUACAACAGCCAAGGAGCUGGCAGUGGAAAAGGGAGUUGUCAACCCUUAUGAUGUUUCAAUGGAGUGUAACUUGGAAGCAGCUUUUCUUCAAUACAGGAUUGUGGAGGGGCAGAGCCUAUUCCAGCUUGGUACCAGUCAACUCCAAGACAAAGUCACUCACAAGCAGGACAAGCAAGGCUUCAGCCAGCAGCAGGAACACAGCCGACUUGUCUGAGCUUUUGACUGAUCCCUAGUGGCUGCUCUAGGUGGGCAGACCUUCAAAGAAGACUUCCAUAACUGGCCAAGAGUUGCUUACAUAGCCGUUCUUGUGCUUUCAUCUGGAUUUGAGGGGACUGGCUGAAAAGCAGACAUUUCUCAAGGGAGUUCUACUCACAUAACAGCAAGGGUUUCAGUUGUGCUUUUUUUUUGGGGUUGUGGGUGGCUGUGGAAGGCAUUCUGCCCUAUGAAUGUGUAGACAACGUUUGUGAAAUAGACGGUAUGUGAAUGAGUGUGGAAAGUGAGUUCUGGAAAAUAAAACAAGUAGUAAAUAAUUAUAACAUAUGGUAUAAAAAUUCAGUGUGGCAAAGUGGUACAUGCUUUGGACUUUAAACCCUGAGGCUGUGGGUUUAAAUCCUGCUACUGACACUGUGUGACCAUGAG